CAGAAAUGAAAAAACACACAAAAAAGCAAAAAAUAAAGACGGGGGUCUCACUACGUUGCUCAGGCUGUGUUGUUUUUUUUUUUGAAACUGAGGUUCAUUUAUAAAAGAACACAUGUUGUUGUAGCUAUGUAAGAAAAUGUCCUUGCUUUUGGGAGACACAUGAAAUUAUUUAGAAGUGAAGGCCAUGGUGACUGUAAAUUUUGCUGAAACGAAUGAUCAAAAACGAAGAAUAUGUACACAUAUAUAGCGAGAGAUUGAUAGAGCAAUGUGGCAACAUGUGAAUACUGUAGUUGGUGAUUUACAUGAAGAAUAUACAGAAAUUCAU
RNAcentral lists this long non-coding RNA (325 nucleotides) under Homo sapiens (human). RNAcentral describes it as "non-protein coding lnc-PTGES3L-AARSD1-3:1". Lineage: Eukaryota; Metazoa; Chordata; Mammalia; Primates; Hominidae. The record is from RNAcentral.